UAAAAGGGAGUAUUCAAAAAUUUAUUCUAAACACGUUGGAUAAGUGUUUUUAAAAAUAGCUCCCGAAAACGCGAGUCUCAAAUGUUUUAGAAACUAAAACUUUUUCGCAAAGCUAUAUGUGUAAUUUUCAUACGAUAGUCGAGGAUAUCUGCAGGCAGCUUUUAUUAUUUUACUCAACCAAAAAAAAGUUGUUAGUAUAAAGAUAUAAGAGUAAUGCGGCUUGUUUGUAGAUUAUAUUAUUUCUUAGUGAAAAGACAAAUAAUACAAGAUAAUAUUAUGUCUAUAUGUGCCGAUAAUAAUCAUAUAAAGUGUACACGUAAUACAAUUAUUAUUAUUCGCGAGUAUAAAUCCCAAAGGACGCAAUUAAUUAGUUCCGGAGUUCCUUUAUUCAAAUCCCGUAGACGAGCGUAGGUGUACAACUUUUGUAACAUUAUAAUGUAGUAAAGUUCGUAAUACGAGUAAGUGUACACAUAUUGUAAGCCUAUUCCAAAAGGGCAAACAAUAAUAUAUUAACAUUAAUAUACUACAAAAAUAACAUAGAGUUCGUCGGAAAGCAUUCGCUUUUAUUACCAACGGUAGAACAAAACGGUGAGUAUUGCAUUUUUUUCCUCGUUUAUAAUAUUAUAUUAAUUGAAAAGUUAUAGGUAAUUAUUUUGGGAACAAAUCGCAUUGGUUUCGACAACACAAAUAAUAUAAUAUAACGCCUAUUAUUUGACGAAUAAAACAAAAUGUCUUGUACGAAAUUAAACCAUUAAAUCCAAUUUGAAAGAUGCUUGAUGGUAUCAGGUGAAUAGAAAUGAUUAGCGAUUUUGAAGUAUUAAGCCAAGUGUGGAAAAAAAAGACUUUUGUGCCGUAUUAAUCAGUACAAUUGGGCGAAGAAGUGGAAAGAUGUUCGACCGUCUGCACAAAUUAAAGACA
Non-coding RNA from Cinara cedri, 918 nucleotides. The record is from the annotation of a GenBank genome assembly. Lineage: Eukaryota; Metazoa; Arthropoda; Insecta; Hemiptera; Aphididae.